Molecule: transfer RNA, 87 nt
Filed under: Burkholderia cenocepacia
Lineage: Bacteria; Pseudomonadati; Pseudomonadota; Betaproteobacteria; Burkholderiales; Burkholderiaceae
Description: tRNA-Leu
Rfam family: tRNA
About the family: Transfer RNA (tRNA) molecules are approximately 80 nucleotides in length.
Source: RNAcentral
GCGCUUGUGGCGGAAACGGAAGACGCACCAGACUCAAACCCUGGUGUCCGAAAGGACGUGCGAGUUCGAGGCUCGCCGAGCGCACCA